RNAcentral lists this ribosomal RNA (467 nucleotides) under uncultured bacterium. Its description in RNAcentral is "partial 16S ribosomal RNA". It matches the Rfam family "Bacterial small subunit ribosomal RNA", at positions 28 to 507 of the family's 1533-position model. The record is from RNAcentral.
GACGAACGCUGGCGGCGUGCUUAACACAUGCAAGUCGAACGGAAAGGCCUCUUUCGGGUGGUACUCGAGAGGGGAACGGGUGAGUAACACGUGAGUACCCUGACCUCGACUCUGAGAUAACUUACGCAAACUGGGGCUAAUACCGGCUAGGAGCACCUGCUGCAUGCAGUGGGCUGGAAAGUUUCGGCGGUUGGGGUUGGACUCGCGGCCUAUCUGCUGGUUGGUGGGGUAGUGUCUUACCAAUGCUUUGACGGGUAGCCGGCCUGAGAGGGUGACCGGCGACAUUGGGACUGAGAUACGGCCCAGACUCCUACGGGAGGCAGCAGUGGGGAAUAUUGCACAAUGGGUGGAAGCCUGAUGCAGCAACGCCGUGUGCGGGAUGACGGCCUUCGGGUUGUAAACCGCUUUCGCUCAUGACGAAGCUUUGUGUGACGGUAGUGGGUAAAGAAGCACCGGCUAACUACGUG